GACGGAGGAUGCAAGCGUUAUCCGGAAUUAUUGGGCGUAAAGCGUCCGCAGGUGGCCUAUCAAGUCUGCUGUCAAAGACCGGGGCUUAACCCCAGAAAGGCAGUGGAAACUGAGAGGCUAGAGUGUGGUAGGGGCAGAGGGAAUUCCCAGUGUAGCGGUGAAAUGCGUAGAGAUUGGGAAGAACACCGGUGGCGAAAGCGCUCUGCUGGGCCAUCACUGACACUCAGGGACGAAAGCUAGGGGAGCGAAUGGG
RNAcentral lists this ribosomal RNA (253 nucleotides) under uncultured bacterium. Its description in RNAcentral is "partial 16S ribosomal RNA". It matches the Rfam family "Bacterial small subunit ribosomal RNA", at positions 524 to 776 of the family's 1533-position model. The record is from RNAcentral.